Carassius auratus (goldfish) is the source of this 416-nucleotide long non-coding RNA. RefSeq lists it as uncharacterized. The transcript is spliced from 3 exons. The record is from RefSeq and is a predicted model, not a curated record. NCBI's taxonomy places the organism in Eukaryota, Metazoa, Chordata, Actinopteri, Cypriniformes, Cyprinidae.
AUUUGCGUCAACAUCUGAAAAUUAAUGAAAUGGUUCAGUGCCCAUACAAAGACAGCGAUUUUGAAAUUUUGUUCUCUUUACGUAGAUUAUUGCUGAGUUCAACCGGAUCACAAGCAAAAACCUCAAGCAAGAAUUCUUCUCAGCCCUUGAUAAACAUACGUCUCGUUUUCUGGAAGUUUUCGAUUCAAAGAAAGGCAAAGCUGAAAAAAAGUCUGCAAACAUCACUGAUGUCACUGCUCCACGGACAGCAGUUCUCUGUGGUCUUGCUGUCCUUCUUGGGGAAGACACUACAGACUUCUUCAAAACAUGCUUUGUCUGUGAUAUAGUUGAACCUCAAGUAUAUAGUUGAACCUCAAGUAUCGAUGGGAAUUCUCACUGUGAUGCCAGAGGACAGCCCGAUGUCUCCACAAGGUUUG